UCCUACGGGAGGCAGCAGUAGGGAAUAUUCCGCAAUGGACGAAAGUCUGACGGAGCAACGCCGCGUGAACGAAGAAGGCCUUCGGGUCGUAAAGUUCUGUUGUUAGGGAAGAACAAGUACCAGAGUAACUGCUGGUACCUUGACGGUACCUAACCAGAAAGCCACGGCUAACUACGUGCCAGCAGCCGCGGUAAUACGUAGGUGGCAAGCGUUGUCCGGAAUUAUUGGGCGUAAAGCGCGCGCAGGUGGUUCCUUAAGUCUGAUGUGAAAGCCCACGGCUCAACCGUGGAGGGUCAUUGGAAACUGGGGAACUUGAGUGCAGAAGAGGAAAGUGGAAUUCCAAGUGUAGCGGUGAAAUGCGUAGAGAUUUGGAGGAACACCAGUGGCGAAGGCGACUUUCUGGUCUGUAACUGACACUGAGGCGCGAAAGCGUGGGGAGCAAACAGGAUUAGAUACCCUGGUAGUCCACGCCGUAAACGAUGAGUGCUAAGUGUUAGAGGGUUUCCGCCCUUUAGUGCUGCAGCUAACGCAUAAGCA
Molecule: ribosomal RNA, 537 nt
Filed under: Peribacillus simplex
Lineage: Bacteria; Bacillati; Bacillota; Bacilli; Caryophanales; Bacillaceae
Description: bacterial SSU rRNA
Rfam family: Bacterial small subunit ribosomal RNA
Source: RNAcentral